GGAUUAGAUACCCUGGUAGUCCACGCCCUAAACGAUGUUCACUAGGUCUUUGCGAUAUACUGUAAGGGCCACAGCGAAAGCACUAAGUGAACCACCUGGGGAGUACGUCGGCAACGAUGAAACUCAAAGGAAUUGACGGGGGUCCGCACAAGCGGCGGAGCAUGUGGUUUAAUUCGAUAAUACGCGAAGAACCUUACCUAGGCUCGAACGCUACGGGACCGUCUGUGAAAGCAGGCUUCCCUUCGGGGCCGGUAGUGAGGUGCUGCAUGGCUGUCGUCAGCUCGUGUCG
RNAcentral lists this ribosomal RNA (289 nucleotides) under uncultured bacterium. Its description in RNAcentral is "partial 16S ribosomal RNA". It matches the Rfam family "Bacterial small subunit ribosomal RNA", at positions 775 to 1067 of the family's 1533-position model. The record is from RNAcentral.